CCUACGGGAGGCAGCAGUGGGGAAUAUUGGACAAUGGGGGAAACCCUUAUCCAGCGACGCCGCGUGAGGGAAGAAGGUUUUCGGAUUGUAAACCUCUGUCAGUGGGGACGAUAAUGACGGUACCUGAAGAAUAAGCUCCGGCUAACUACGUGCCAGCAGCCGCGGUAAUACGUAGGGAGCGAGCGUUAUCCGGAAUUAUUGGGCGUAAAGGGUGCGUAGAUGGCAUAGUAAGUCUUUUGUAAAAAUGCUGGGCUCAACCCAGUAGGGCAAAAGAUACUGCAAAGCUAGAGUAUGACAGAGGCAAGUGGAACUACAUGUGUAGCGGUAAAAUGCGUAAAUAUAUGUAAGAACACCAGUGGCGAAGGCGGCUUGCUGGGUCGAUACUGACAUUGAGGCACGAAAGCGUGGGGAGCAAACAGGAUUAGAUACCCCGGUAGUC
RNAcentral lists this ribosomal RNA (439 nucleotides) under uncultured bacterium. RNAcentral describes it as "partial 16S ribosomal RNA". It matches the Rfam family "Bacterial small subunit ribosomal RNA", at positions 338 to 795 of the family's 1533-position model. The record is from RNAcentral.